UACGUAGGGGGCAAGCGUUGUCCGGAUUUAUUGGGCGUAAAGCGCGUGUAGGCGGCCAGAUAGGUCUGCUGUGAAAACUCGAGGCUCAACCUCGAGCUGUCGGCGGAAACCAUCUGGCUAGAGUCCGGAAGAGGAGAGUGGAAUUCCUGGUGUAGCGGUGAAAUGCGCAGAUAUCAGGAAGAACACCUAUGGCGAAGGCAGCUCGCUGGGACGGUACUGACGCUGAGACGCGAAAGCGUGGGGAGCGAACAGG
RNAcentral lists this ribosomal RNA (253 nucleotides) under uncultured bacterium. Its description in RNAcentral is "partial 16S ribosomal RNA". It matches the Rfam family "Bacterial small subunit ribosomal RNA", at positions 524 to 776 of the family's 1533-position model. The record is from RNAcentral.